RNAcentral lists this ribosomal RNA (301 nucleotides) under uncultured bacterium. RNAcentral's name for it is "partial 16S ribosomal RNA". It matches the Rfam family "Bacterial small subunit ribosomal RNA", at positions 509 to 807 of the family's 1533-position model. The record is from RNAcentral.
CAGUAGCCGCGGUAAUACGUAGGGUGCGAGCGUUAAUCGGAAUUACUGGGCGUAAAGCGUGCGCAGGCGGUUGUGUAAGACAGGUGUGAAAUCCCCGGGCUUAACCUGGGAACUGCGCUUGUGACUGCACAGCUAGAGUAUGGCAGAGGGGGGUGGAAUUCCACGUGUAGCAGUGAAAUGCGUAGAGAUGUAGAGGAACACCGAUGGCGAAGGCAGCCCCCUGGGCCAAUACUGACGCUCAUGCACGAAAGCGUGGGGAGCAAACAGGAUUAGAUACCCCUGUAGUCCCUGUCUCUUAUAC